Long non-coding RNA from Ictalurus punctatus (channel catfish), 1458 nucleotides. NCBI's taxonomy places the organism in Eukaryota, Metazoa, Chordata, Actinopteri, Siluriformes, Ictaluridae. The record is from Ensembl.
GGCACAUGGAUGUACGAAUGCCAUCAAAGGCCAGUCACGAUUAUACUGGUCACUCUGGGAAGGAUCCAAAAUAAGUAACUAUGAAACAAGAUGAUUAUAUCACAUGGAUAACUGAGAACUGAGUUGAAGCAGUUGGAGUGUAUAAUUCUUCAGAGAGGAUACGUACAUACCCAGCCUAACUCCAUUUUGCAGGAUCUUCUUUCAAGGUCUUCGUCUGGUGGCAAGUUAAAAAAGGAUUUCAAGCUCCGGGGUCCUUGCUUGGAUCAUAAGCCAGUGGGUCCAGGAGGUGGAUUGACUAUGUUGAUUUAAUCAUAGGCAUAGCAACACGACACUGGCCGAAGUCACUGCAGCCAUAAUGGGAUUUUCCAUCAGAACACAGAGCGAGAAGCUGGCUACGAGCACCACCACAAUCAUGGCUUAGAUCUCUUUAUCGUCAGAAGAACUUCUAUUAAAAUGAAUAGAGGCUGGACUUGAAUGAUCAGAUGAAGAGAAGAGGAAAUUCAAAGGUGAGUUUUACGCUUAUAUUUAAGCAAAUCAAUUAAGCAUUUAAGUUUGCGUGCCACAAGUGUGAAGUACAUAAAUUUAUCACAUACUGUUGAACUAUUGUAAAUGAACACUCACUCUUAGGUACCAUGCGGGUGUACUUUACAUUAGAUCACAAUAGUGUAUUCACUAGUUGAACAGCUUGUUGAAUGAGGUCAAUGGGAGCUCAAUGGUUAAGAUUGAGAUUAUUGAUCAGAUGGUCGUGAGUUCAAAUCCCAGCGCAGCCAAGCUGCCAAUGCUGAGCCCUUGAGCAAGACUCUUAACUCUCAAAUGCUCACUUGUUUAAAUUAGAGAAAUGUAAGUCGCUCUGGAUAAGGGCAAAUGCUGUAAUGUAACUUGAUUUAAUACUAGUGCACAGAUGACUAGUUGUUGUCUGUGCUGUUUUUAAAUUGUUAGUCUGUUUUUUUUUUUUAUUUGAGAAAUUUAUUUACAUACCUUAAAACUUUCUGUACCUUAAAGUCUUGAGAACCUAGCGUUUUUUUGUUGUUGUUGUUUCUUUUAUUUUGUAAAUUUUGCUCUGUCUAGGUAAUCCCGCGCCUUGCGUGAACGGCACCUAGAUGCAAAUACUUUGAGCCGCUGCACAACUGUCAAAUAUGUCCAUCUAGUGCAUGUUCACAAAAAAAAACUUACAACAAUGCAGACAAACUGAGAAACACGUUCUGUGUGAUCUGCCUAUCACUCUUUCUCUGUUUAAAAGAUUGAUUGCCCGCUGCUGCUCUAUCUCUCAGUCAUAUACAAGCCAUUCAUUUUAUUAGAGAAGUUUGCUGAAACUUAAAAAAAUGUGUCUUUGAUUUUUAGAUUAUGAAGUUGAUGGAGAAACUGUCAACGCUGGUCUCAUGGAUCACAUGAUAGCAGAGCUUUUUGAGAAGUCUGUUAAGAAGAUGUUUUCAACGUAGAUACGUUGUGGAAACUGUU